This 994-nucleotide long non-coding RNA is filed under the name Olea europaea subsp. europaea. The record is from RNAcentral. Lineage: Eukaryota; Viridiplantae; Streptophyta; Magnoliopsida; Lamiales; Oleaceae.
CAAAUUUUCAAGUAACGUUUUUUCUCUUACCCAAAUCAAAAUUAAUUUUUUCCAUUUCUUCACACUGAGCCCUAAAUUGAAUAUGAAUCAAUUUCUUCUCCCCUACAAAUCGACUUCGAUCAAAAUCAAGAAAUAACCUUUCCUUCCAAACCAACUUCCCAAGCAAAAAGGAAUCGAAAUCUCUCUAAAUUGUCCUCAAAUUGAAACUACUUCGCUUGGGUCAAUCCACUUGUGCAUUCACGCUUGAGGACCGUAGUAAAUGGCUUCACCCACAGGUCAAAAUUUAUGCAACAAUUACGAUGAGUAGAUUGAAGUUUUAUAAAUUGGGAUUGGGUGUUAUACUGGUUGUUAUUUGUAAUGGAUUUGACCCUGACCAGCCACUGGGAUUACGAGAUUGUUUAGGUGACCCAUCAUUCUUUUGUUCAUUCUGGCCAGCCACCGUGUUUUUGGCAAAUCUUAAGAAGCAGCUCGCUCAUCAAGAGCAAGUUCGAUUCCACAAUUUGCUUUUGUGGCCGAAAGCUUCUCCCACGUGUAUCUUUUGCCUUGGUUUGCUACCUUUUAAAGCUCCAAAUGAGAUGGAUUCUGUAAGAUUUUUUACUACUGAAAACACAAACAAAGAAUUGGAUAAAGAAUUAGGUCAUCAAGACAUUAAAUCUUAUUUCAGAUAGGAAACUGUUAAAACAAAGGAAUAGAUUGUUGUGGUUUUUUCAGUAUGUAGUUAGUAGGUUGGUGGUUUUGUAAGUCGUAUAUGGACGGUUUAGGAAUGUUUGUGUUGUUUUGUUUAAGCUCAAUGGUUGUAAUGGUUGGUAUAGUAGUGUUGGUUGUGAAAUCAUCAAAGUAAACCUGAUGUAUUUUACAGUUUCAAGCUCUUUUUUGAGUCCCAUUCUUUUCAUAAGAAUGCAUUAUUUAAUAAUGUAUUGAGGAGAAAUGUGUGGUUAAAAAAUAAGAAAAAGUUUUGGAUUUACGUGUAAUAUUAUUUUAUUGAAGAAUGUGU